ACUGGAUACGACCUUCCCACGCAUGUGGUGUUGGUGGAAAGCUUUUGUGGUUUUGGAUGGACUCGCGGCCUAUCAGCUUGUUGGUGGGGUAAUGGCCUACCAAGGCGACGACGGGUAGCCGGCCUGAGAGGGUGGACGGCCACACUGGGACUGAGACACGGCCCAGACUCCUACGGGAGGCAGCAGUGGGGAAUAUUGCACAAUGGGCGCAAGCCUGAUGCAGCGACGCCGCGUGAGGGAUGAAGGCCUUCGGGUUGUAAACCUCUUUCAGUAGGGAAGAAGCGAAAGUGACGGUACCUGCAGAAGAAGCGCCGGCUAACUACGUGCCAGCAGCCGCGGUAAUACGUAGGGCGCAAGCGUUAUCCGGAAUUAUUGGGCGUAAAGAGCUCGUAGGCGGUUUGUCGCGUCUGCCGUGAAAGUCCGGGGCUUAACUCCGGAUCUGCGGUGGGUACGGGCAGACUUGAGUGAUGUAGGGGAGACUGGAAUUCCUGGUGUAGCGGUGAAAUGCGCAGAUAUCAGGAGGAACACCGAUGGCGAAGGCAGGUCUCUGGGCAUUAACUGACGCUGAGGAGCGAAAGCAUGGGGAGCGAACAGGAUUAGAUACCCUGGUAGUCCAUGCCGUAAACGUUGGGCACU
This 636-nucleotide ribosomal RNA is filed under the name Arthrobacter sp. N37(2010). Its description in RNAcentral is "bacterial SSU rRNA". It matches the Rfam family "Bacterial small subunit ribosomal RNA", at positions 168 to 817 of the family's 1533-position model. The record is from RNAcentral. Lineage: Bacteria; Bacillati; Actinomycetota; Actinomycetes; Micrococcales; Micrococcaceae.